UGGCCAGUGAUGGUGAGCAUUUUUUCAUGUGUUUUUUGGCUGCAUAAAUGUCUUCUUUUGAGAAGUGUCUGUCUUUUAGCUAUUUUCUAAUCACUCAUCUACAAUGUUACUGUGAGAAUUAAAUGAGACUGUAUCCUUACAUACUUAGUAAAUAACUUAUUAGAUUCUAGCAAUAACAGAAGCAGAGGCUUUGCAGCCAGCCUCCCUUGAUUAGAAUCACACAUGUGCCACAUACUAGUGGAAGUUUAACCUUGGUCAAGUUACUGAACCUCCUUGGGCCUCAGUUUUCUCAUCAAUAAAGGGGAUAAUAAUAAGACUUAUAGCUCUCAUGAGAUUCUGUUAAGGAUCAAGUUAUCUACUAAAACAACACUCCAGUAAAUGUUAUCACCUUUUUAGGAAAAAGAUCUCAAUUUCCUAUGACCAUUCAGUCAAUAUCAUAUAAAAAUGAUAAACUCCUUUUAGUUAACAUAAACAAAAUAAGUCAUUAUUAUGAUUAAUCCACAAACGAUCAGUUCGAAUUCUGCACCAAGUAAUGAAGGACAUCUUAUGAAAAAUGUUAUAUAUCUCUUUUAAAGAACAGAGUGGCAUCUUGUUAUUUCUUACAGGCAACAUCAGAGUAGACGGAGAACAGCUGAGAUGGUUACAUUUCUGGUAGUGUAUUCUUUGGAGUUAUGAAAGUUACUCCCCACAUGUCUGAAGUCUUAGAAAAAUCUGCCAGUACUUCGGAUCACCGAAGGAAAUAAGAAGUAGACUUGAAUAAAGUGGAAAUCAAGCCCCAGUUGAGAGAGAAAAAUAACUGGGACAUGGAGCCUUAGGGACAUAGAGCACAAAAUCCUUCACUGAUUUUCUUGGGAUGCCUUUACACAAAGAGAGGGAACAAAGGAGUAAAAAAUAUGUUUCUCAUUACAGCCUUUAGGUGCUUCUGGGAAGAAGGAAGGAAAACUUGAAUGUGCUAAGAGAAAUCUGAACACAGCUUAAAUCAAAAGUCUAUCUUGCUAGAAGAGCACUGGAGAUAGAGUCGGAUACGCUUUAAAGGACAAGGGAAAACAGCUCCCAGUGGAUGGUACACACAUGGCAAAAGGCCAAGAGUAGAAGCACCGUCAUUAGGAAAAGGAAUCAGCCAAGGUCCCAGGCAAGAAGAGGUGAGGCAAAUGGAGGCUCUGAGGAAAGUGGCUCCAAAGCCUACAUGAUGGAAGAUAACUCUGGAAGAGAAAGAGAUGACGUUCCUAAGCUUGUAUAGCAAAACUUGAGAGAAGGUAACGAAGAUGUGACAUCUGAACUCAGAGAAAUAUAACUUCUAUAGAAAAGAAACAAGGCCUUGCAGCUCUAUAAGGAACAGUAAAUAAAUCAAGUAUGCACACAAGAAGUAAAAAAAUAUAUCCAAGUAGAAAGGAAGCUUUUCAUGAAAUGUCCACAGAGCUCAUGCUCUGUAGUGACUGUAAUGCAAGAUUCAAGGCUCUAUCUAGAAAACUCCUAGCCAGUCUUGACGGACCAAGCCCUACACUGAGCAUGUACAGAGUCUUCCUGUUCCAUGCAGUACUUGCUAACAAAACUAAUUUAAAUGCCUUACCAUGACUCGAUCUCCUUUAAAGUACCUCAUUAGUCCUUGAUAUCCCUUUGCUGUAUCUCUGGCUUGCCUUGCCACUGCUCUGUGAGUCCCCACAACUCCUCCUCCACACAUACUCUUCCCCCAAGAGCUUGGCACAGAAUAAAGAUCCAUUUUAGAUCUGGAUUUAAAUAGUUUUCUUUACUAGCUCAUUUCCUUAUCUACUAAUGAGGGAAAUACCACCUACGUCAGAGUGGGAAUUAAAUGAAAUAAUAAACCUAAAGACCCCAGCUCAAUGGUUCAAACAUAAAUAAUGCCAAAUAUUCAUUCCUCUCCCCAUGCCCAUAUCCUCUCACCAAGCCCCAAUGUUCUAUAGCUUAUGACCCAAAACGCUAAAAGUAGAACAUUCUAAUAUUGAGCAUAUUAACAGAAGCUUGAAGAGAUAUGCAAGUUAUAAAUCUGUUUUUGUUCUUCCUCACCAAUAUAAAUUUGCUAAGUGACAGAUUAAGACAGUCAAUUCCAAGAAGUUGGAUUCAAUAACAUGACAUGAGGCACAAAGUAGCCCAUAUCAAUAGCCAGGAAUGAUUUUAUUGCAGCUUGUUAUGCUAGUU
Non-coding RNA from Homo sapiens (human), 2157 nucleotides. Lineage: Eukaryota; Metazoa; Chordata; Mammalia; Primates; Hominidae. The record is from RefSeq and is a predicted model, not a curated record.